UUGGGCGCAAAGCGCGCGUAGGCGGUUUAUUAAGUCUGAUGUGAAAGCCCACGGCUCAACCGUGGAGGGGCAUUGGAAACUGGAAGACUUGAGAGCAGAGGAGGAAAGUGGAAUUCCAUGUGUAGCGGUGAAAUGCGCAGAGAUAUGGAGGAACACCAGUGGCGAAGGCGACUUUCUGGUCUGUAACUGACGCUGCUGUGCGAAAGCGUGGGGCUCAAACAGGAGUAGAUACCCUGGUAGUCCACGCCGUAAACGAUGAGUGCCCAGUGCGAGGGGGUUCGCGCCCCUCCGUGCCGCCGCCCACGACUCCUGCACUCCGC
Molecule: ribosomal RNA, 320 nt
Filed under: Staphylococcus aureus
Lineage: Bacteria; Bacillati; Bacillota; Bacilli; Caryophanales; Staphylococcaceae
Description: bacterial SSU rRNA
Rfam family: Bacterial small subunit ribosomal RNA
Source: RNAcentral